Molecule: long non-coding RNA, 166 nt
Organism: Dicentrarchus labrax (European seabass)
Lineage: Eukaryota; Metazoa; Chordata; Actinopteri; Moronidae
Exons: 2
Source: RefSeq, a predicted model, not a curated record
UGGUUGUAGUUGUCACUUCAGUUCCAGUAGUAGAUUCAGUUGGUGGUGUUGUAGACCUUGUGGUUGUAGUUGGCGUUUCAGUUGUAGUAGUAGAUUCAGUUGGUGGUGUUGUAGACCUUGUGGUUGUAGUUGUCUCUUCAGUUGUAGUAGUAGAUUUAGUUGGUGG